UACGGAGGGAGCAAGCGUUACUCGGAAUUAUUGGGCGUAAAGAGCUCGUAGGCGGCUUGUUACGUCGGCUGUGAAAACCCGCGGCUCAACCGCGGGCCUGCAGCCGAUACGGGCAGGCUAGAGUUCGGUAGGGGAGACUGGAAUUCCGGGUGUAGUGGUGGAAUGCGUAGAUAUCCGGAGGAACACCAGUGGCGAAAGCGGCUCUCUGGGGGCAACCUGACGCUGAGGCGCGAAAGCGUGGGGAGCGAACCGG
This 253-nucleotide ribosomal RNA is filed under the name uncultured bacterium. RNAcentral's name for it is "partial 16S ribosomal RNA". It matches the Rfam family "Bacterial small subunit ribosomal RNA", at positions 524 to 776 of the family's 1533-position model. The record is from RNAcentral.